Molecule: ribosomal RNA, 617 nt
Filed under: uncultured bacterium
Lineage: Bacteria
Description: bacterial SSU rRNA
Rfam family: Bacterial small subunit ribosomal RNA
Source: RNAcentral
GGGGCUUGCGUUGGAUUAGCUAGUUGGUGAGGUAAUAGCUCACCAAGUCAAUGAUCAGUAGCUGGUCUGAGAGGACGAUCACCCACAUCGGAACUGAGACACGGUCCAGACUCCUACGGGAGGCAGCAGUGGGGAAUCUUGGGCAAUGGGGGAAACCGUGAACAGCCGACGCGUCGUGAAGAAGAAGCUUUUCGGGUUGUAAACUCCUUUUGUCUAGGUUCUACACAACGGGCCCCCUGAAGGUAAGUCACUAACCAUAGCCCCACCAGCGCCGGUACAUGGUGUCCAAAACCGUCUCGAUUUUUGGGGUAAAAGAUCUGUAUGGGUUCCUUUAAGUUUUUGGUGAAAAAUCCGGGGCCAAAUCGGAAAAUGUCCGGAAAAAUCAGGAAAUUGAGUGAGUCGGAGGGAGAUGGGAAUUUCGGGGUAGGGGGAAAAUCCGUUUAGAUCUAGGAGGACACCACAGGCGAAAGGGAUCUUUUGGGCCGGUCCUGACACCCAGGGACGAAAAAGCGGGGGGAGCAAACGGUAUGAUUCCCCGGGGGUUCACGCCCCAAAAGAUGGGCUCUUGGCAUUCGGGGCAUAGACCCCCUCCGUGCCGCAGCUAACGCAUUAAGGCC